Molecule: small nucleolar RNA, 91 nt
Filed under: Hydnomerulius pinastri MD-312
Lineage: Eukaryota; Fungi; Basidiomycota; Agaricomycetes; Boletales
Source: RNAcentral
CUUCUGUGAUGAAUCCUACUAUUCAGUUCUGCUUCCGAAAGAGAGCAAUCUCUUGUGGACAACCUCAUACCAAAACUCUCAAUUCUGACCU